UCAAUCGGCAGACAUGUCCUUCGUUCGAGACUUCUUGCUCUUUAUUGUCUCUGUAUUCUUGAUGCCUAAUACGUCUGUAAAUGUUGCUCGCGAAGUGGAGGAUCCUAUAAAGGCCAUAAAUGACAUUGCAACAGUUUGUCGUGUUAACUAGGCAUCACUGUCGUACAAUUAUCUAUGGAAGGCCCUUCGACGGCAUCAGAAAAACAAAGGCAUGUUUGUCGGAGGAUGCAUAUAUUUUUUACAGUUAUUUUACUGUCAUCACGUUGUUUGGAAGGAAGGAUAUGUUGAUAGAUCCCUCUGCCCUUUAAAUGUGUGGUCUGACGAUGAUUUCAAGGCUAUACUGGAUUGGGUACAGGAGCAUGGGGGGUUUGAAUCAAAUAAAAUUCCAAUGAUAGAGUUGCAGGACG
Molecule: long non-coding RNA, 407 nt
Organism: Humulus lupulus (European hop)
Lineage: Eukaryota; Viridiplantae; Streptophyta; Magnoliopsida; Rosales; Cannabaceae
Exons: 3
Source: RefSeq, a predicted model, not a curated record